UAGGAAAACAAGAGGCCUGGCGCCACAUACUCCUCCUCCAUGGGGAGAUGAUGAGAGAACAAAGAACAUGUGAUGGAUGUGAGACACAUCACAUAAUGUGAUGGCCUCAGAUAGUCAGAUGAGCAAGGAUCCAAGCUUCCACAGGACAGAAUGACACCUGAAUUUCUACAAGAGAUUUCAAUCGAAAGUGAAGAUGCUGGGAAAAGGCCUACCUGCAGCUUCAGCAGUAGAUCACCAAGAGAGUGUAUCUUCUGUACCAGGUCAUGGGAGUUCAGCUCAGAGUUGUACAGUAGAAAGAGCAUGCCUGCAGUCUCUUCAAGACAUCAGACUGCUGUAAGUCAGCCAUGCACAUGGCCCUGAAGGGAUAUCUACAAGGUACUUAAAGCUAUAACAUCACUCACAAAGGUCUGAGACAGGAAUAGAGUUUAAAAUAUACAAUCACAUUUGAAAUAUGAUUUAAAGGAGGCCAUAAAUAUCUAUUUUUGAAAACCCGCUGUGGCUGAAUUUUACUUUUGUUUUGUAUUUGACCAUUAAAUAUAUAUAUAUAUAUAUAUAUAUAUUUAAAGAAGGAAAACAGAAACUGUUGAUACUGUGAUAUUUUUUACUGAUGACUCGCAUUACCACUGAGUGACACCUCCUUAAUUCAAUUGCAGGAAUAUACGGACAUUGUGCCCAGGUAAACACUCAUUAACUUUUCUUGACAGCCCUUUUUAAAUUAAAGAAAAAAAAAAAAGACACGCCAAGUUGCUGCCAGUUUUGGCAGCUCUGAUCUUGCCCUGACUCUAAGCCCAAGGAGCCUUUAUCAGGUUUCAUUUCCAAGGACACUGGUCCGCUUCCAGCAAGGCGCGUGUCCCUGGCUGCCGCCACGGCGUUCCCAGCUGCAGAACAAGGGCUGCAAAACCCCUGGUGGGUGCAGAGUGGUGCUCUCCGGUUUUUGUUUUGUGGAAAGAGUUAAAUAAAGACGAGGGUUCAGGGAAGGAGAGUCUGAGC
This 990-nucleotide long non-coding RNA is filed under the name Anas platyrhynchos platyrhynchos (common mallard). RNAcentral's name for it is "lncRNA (ENSAPLG00000023928.1)". The record is from RNAcentral. Lineage: Eukaryota; Metazoa; Chordata; Aves; Anseriformes; Anatidae.